AAAUUAUUAUUAUUAUGUUAUAUUAUUGUUUAAAAAAAAAAAAAAAAAAAAAAAUUA
RNAcentral lists this ribosomal RNA (57 nucleotides) under Florenciella parvula. RNAcentral describes it as "partial Trypanosomatid mitochondrial large subunit ribosomal RNA". Lineage: Eukaryota; Dictyochophyceae; Florenciellales. The record is from RNAcentral.